AGACACGACAUAUUGUCUCAACUAUCAACUCUGACCCCUCUCUCUUUCGGACGAACCAGUUCUGCAGUUUGGCGCUGCCUUGAGGAUCGAAUAUAUAUAGGGCGUAAGUUUGCUAUUCUGAGGACUUAUUGUGUUGAGAACUUGUCGGUUUGAUUGAAUUCAAGUGGUUCGGUUCUUUGCAAGAUGGACUUAGUGUCUGGUUACAAGGGAGUUGUUGGGCUUGUAUUUGGAAAUGAGGGUUCUGGUUCAAGUGAAGAUAGCUAUGUUGAACGCUUGCUCGACCGUAUAAGCAAUGGUGUCCUGGCGGAGGAUAGGAGGACUGCUAUUACCGAACUUCAAUCUGUUGUAGCAGAAAGUCAUGCUGCCCAGCUAGCUUUUGGGGCAAUGGGCUUUCCAGUACUUUUGAGUGUCUUAAAGGAGGAGCGAGAUGAUGUUGAAAUGGUCCGAGGUGCUCUUGAAACUCUUGCUAGUGCUUUGACUCCAAUUAAUCAUGUAAAAGGGCCAAAGAAUGAGGUUCAACCAGCUUUAAUGAACACUGAUUUGCUUUCUAGGGAAGCAGAAAGCAUUUCUCUUCUUCUAAGUCUGUUGUCGGAGGAGGAUUUCUAUGUACGGUAUUAUACACUUCAACUUCUGACGGCCCUUCUUACAAAUUCUCCAAAUAGGUUACAGGAAGCCAUUCUGACCAUUCCUCGUGGUAUCACUCGGCUUAUGGAUAUGCUUAUGGAUCGUGAGGUUAUACGAAACGAAGCCUUGUUACUCCUAACUUACUUGACACGUGAAGCUGAGGAAAUUCAAAAAAUCGUGGUCUUUGAAGGUGCUUUUGACAAGAUUUUUAGUAUUGUAAAAGAGGAAGGGGGUUCAGAAGGUGGUGUCGUUGUGCAGGACUGUCUCGAAUUGUUGAACAAUCUCCUAUGUAACAAUGCAUCCAAUCAGGUACUUUUGAGGGAGACGUUAGGCUUUGAUUCCAUAUUAUCAAUUUUGAAGCUCAGAGGAAGUACAUACAAAUUUACCCAGCAAAAGACGAUAAAUCUACUCAGUGCGUUAGAAACCAUUAGUUUGCUGAUUGUUGAAGGUCCGGAAACUGAGACUGGAAAAGAUGCCAAUAAGCUGACCAACAAAACAGUCUUGGUUCAGAAAAAAGUUCUUGACCAUCUAUUAAUGUUAGGAGUUGAAAGCCAAUGGGCUUCUGUUGCAGUGCGUUGUGCGGCACUUCGAUGCAUUGGUGAUCUGAUUGCUGGUCAUCCUAAGAAUCGUGAUGCCCUUGCAAGUAAAAUUCUUGGAGAAGAGCCAAAUGUAGAACCUGCUCUGAAUUCUAUCCUUAGAAUCAUCUUGCGAACUUCUAGCAUGCAAGAAUUUCUUGCAGCUGACUAUGUUUUUAAGAGCUUCUGUGAGAAUAACUCUGAUGGUCAAACAAUGUUAGCAUCCACAUUAAUUCCACAACCGCAGUCAACACUUCAUGCUCCGGUUGAGGAGGAUGUGAACAUGUCCUUUGGAAGCAUGCUUCUACAUGGUCUUACUAUGAGUGAAAAUGACGGUGACCUUGAGACUUGUUGCAGAGCUGCUAGUGUCCUUUCUCAUGUGCUGAAGGACAACAUAGAAUGCAAAGAUAGGGUUCUGCGAAUUGAACUUGAGGCACCGAUGCGUUCCUUAGGAGCGCCGGAGCCAUUAAUGCAUCGUAUGGUGAAAUACUUGGCUCUUGCUUCUUCCAUGGAAAAUAAAGAUGGAAAAUCAAGCACAUCAGGGUUUUUGUAUGUUCAACCAAUUAUCCUGAAAUUGUUAGUCACUUGGCUCUAUGAUUGCCCUAGUGCAGUGCUAUGUUUCCUAGAUUCACGUCCUCAUCUAACAUAUUUACUUGAGUUGGUAUCAAAUCCAUCCACAACUGUAUGCAGUAGAGGGCUGGCAGCAGUUCUUUUGGGAGAGUGUGUCAUUUACAAUAAAUCUGGUGACGGUGGAAAGGAUGCUUUUACCAUAGUUGACGCUCUAAGCCAGAAAGUUGGUCUCACAUCAUACUUCUUGAAGUUUGAUGAGAUGCAGAAAAGCAUUCUAUUUUCCUCUUCUAAACCAUCCCAGCCCCGUAAACCAAUGACAAGAUCAACUGCUGCUAGUAUGGCAGAGAUUGAAGAUGUUGACGAGAAUCAGUUAACUAAUCAGAAGAAUGAAGAUCAUCCACUACUUGGGUCGAUAUUUGAUGCUCAGUUUGUUAAUUUUGUUAAGAGUUUGGAGGCAGAUAUUAGAGAUAGCAUUGUGGAGACUUACAGUCAUCCAAAGAGCAAGGUAGCUGUGGUGCCAGCGGAGAUAGAACAAAAGGGUGGGGAAACUGCUGAAGACUAUAUCAAGCGGCUGAAAUCAUUUGUGGAGAAGCAGUGCUCCGAGAUACAGGACCUUCUUAGUCGGAAUUCGUCUUUGGCUGAGGAUUUGGCCAAGAUAGGUGGAGGUGGUUCUUCCUGGCAUGAGCACAGAGCUACUGGGGGCUCAGAAAGAGUCCAGACCGAGACACUCCGGAGAGAUCUUCAAGAGGCCACCCAACGGGUAGAGAUGCUCAAGACUGAGAAGGCCAAGAUAGAAUCUGAGGCUUCCAUGUACCAAAAUUUAGCUGGGAAGAUGGAGUCGGAUCUGAAAAGCUUGUCCGAUGCUUACAACAGUCUGGAACAGGCAAACUUCCAUCUAGAAAAGGAAGUGAAAGCUUUAAAGAGUGGGGGAGCCACGGCAUCUCCAGAUAUUGAGGCAAUAAAAGCAGAAGCAAGGGAAGAAGCCCAGAAGGAGAGUGAGGCAGAAUUAAACGAUUUACUUGUCUGUCUUGGGCAAGAGCAGAGCAGAGUGGAGAAGCUAAGUGCAAGGUUGUUGGAUUUGGGGGAGGAUGUAGAAAAGCUGCUUGAAGGUAUAGGAGAUGAAGUCGGGCUUCCUGAAGAUGGUGAAGAGGAGGAAGACUAGUGGUAGAUUUGUGUUACAGUUUUUAUGUUUGAAGUCAUUGCGUUGUAUUCUUCCACCGUUGCCCAGGGGUGUGGUUGCCUCACCUUCAACCCAAUGGAGCAGAAGUGAGGAAAAUUACUAGGCAGAGAGAAAAUUUUGCCAGCAAUGUCAUCUCUCGAGAAAUUUCACUACAUUUUUACUCACAUCUCAUUCUUAAAUUUUAGGUAAUGAUUUUUUAGCUUUAUACAUUGUUUGACGAUUCCAUUGCCGGUUCAAAUCCAAGGAUAAAAAAUAAUGACAAAUCGAAAGGGAAAUUUCUGAAAAUAUCCAAUUCCU
This is an RNA transcript of Cornus florida, 3246 nucleotides long. It is a transcript of the gene named golgin candidate 6, with no coding region annotated. NCBI's taxonomy places the organism in Eukaryota, Viridiplantae, Streptophyta, Magnoliopsida, Cornales, Cornaceae. The transcript has 21 exons. The record is from RefSeq and is a predicted model, not a curated record.